This 1289-nucleotide ribosomal RNA is filed under the name Elysia cornigera. Its description in RNAcentral is "bacterial LSU rRNA". It matches the Rfam family "Bacterial large subunit ribosomal RNA", at positions 1617 to 2915 of the family's 2925-position model. The record is from RNAcentral. Lineage: Eukaryota; Metazoa; Mollusca; Gastropoda; Plakobranchidae.
GGUCCAUAUCCUGUGUAGGCGUUUCGCCUGUAUCUAAAUCCGACACAGGUAGGUUGGUCGAGGAGACCUAGGGGAGCGAGAUAACCAUCUCUAAGGAACUCGGCAAAAUGGCCCCGUAACUUCGGGAGAAGGGGUACCCUCGAAAGAGGGUCGCAGUGACCAGGCCCAGGCGACUGUUUACCAAAAACACAGGUUUCCGCGAAGUCGCAAGACAAUGUAAGGAAGCUGACGCCUGCCCAGUGCCGGAAGGUGAAGGAAGUCGGUUCACGCUGGCGACCGAAGCCCCGGUGAACGGCGGUCGUAACACUGACGAUCCUAAGGUAGCGAAAUUCCUUGCCAGGUAAGUUCUGGCCCGCACGAAAGGCGUAACGAUCUGGGCACUGUCUCGGAGAUGGACUCGGUGAAAUAGAAGUACGAGUGAAGAUGCUCGUUACCUACACCCGGACAGAAAGACCCUAUGAAGCUUUACUGUAGUCUGCAAUUGGGUUCGGGCUUUUCUUGCGCAGUCUAGGUGGGAGGCUGGGAUCGCUUGCUUUCGGGUAAGCAGGAGCCAUCAGUGAGAGACCACUCUGGAAGAGCUAGAAUCCUAAUUAUGAUUCCUUGAAACAGGACGUUUGACAGUUGCAGGUGGGCAGUUUUACUGGGGCGGUAGACUCCUAAAAGGUAACGGAGUCGUGCAAAGGUUCCCUCAAGCCGGACGGAAAUCGGCUGUAGAGCGCAAAGGCAGAAGGGAGCUUGACUGCAAGACCUACAAGUCGAGCAGGGACGAAAGUCGGCCUUAGUGAUCCGACGGUUCCGUGUGGAAGGGCCGUCGCUCAACGGAUAAAAGUUACUCUAGGAUAACAGGCUGAUCGCUGCCAAGAGCUCGUAUCGACGUAGCGGUUUGGCACCUCGAUGUCGGCUCGUCGCAUCCUGGGGCUGGAGCAGGUCCCAAGGGUUUGGCUGUUCGCCAAUUAAAGCGGCACGCGAGCUGGGUUCAGAACGUCGUGAGACAGUUCGGUCCGUAUCCUCCGUGGUCGUUGGAAAUUUGAGAAGACUUGUCCCUAGUACGAGAGGACCGGGAUGAACGAACCUCUAGUGUACCGGUUGUGGCGCCAGCUGCAUCGCCGGGUAGCUAUGUUCGGAAGGGAUAACCGCUGAAAGCAUCUAAGCGGGAAGCCUGCUUCAAGAUAAGAUUUCCCUGUGUGGGGUUUCCCCACACCUGAAGUCCCCUGGAAGACUACCAGGUGAUAGGCUGCAAGUGUAAUAAUAGCAAUAUUUUUAGCUGAGCAGUACUAAUCGGACGUGAG